GCAUAUCAAUAAGCAGAGGAAAAGAAACUAACAAAGGAUUCCCCUAGUAACUGCGAGUGAAGCGGGAAAAGCUCAAAUUUAAAAUCUGGUGGUCUUUAGCCAUCCGAGUUGUAAUUUAGAGAAGCAUCUUCCGCGCUGGACCGUGCACAAGUCUCCUGGAAUGGAGCGUCAUAGAGGGUGAGAAUCCCGUCUUUGGCACGGACAUGUCAGUGCUUUUGUGAUGUGCUCUCAAAGAGUCGAGUUGUUUGGGAAUGCAGCUCAAAAUGGGUGGUGAACUCCAUCUAAAGCUAAAUAUUGGCGAGAGACCGAUAGCGAACAAGUACCGUGAGGGAAAGAUGAAAAGCACUUUGGAAAGAGAGUGAAACAGUACGUGAAAUUGUUGAAAGGGAAACGCUUGAAGUCAGUCGUGUUGACCAAGACUCAGCCUUGCCUUGGCUUGGUGUAAUUCUUGGCUGACAGGUCAGCAUCAAUUUUGUCUCUUGGAUAAUGGUAAGGGAAAUGUGACACCUUUAUGGUGUGUUAUAGUCUCUUGUCGCAUGCAAGGGAUGAGAUUGAGGAACUCAGCACGCACCUUUUAGGUGUCGGGGCUUUGCCCACGAUACGUGCUUAGGAUGUUGGCAUAAUGGCUUUAAACGACCCGUCUUGAAACACGGACCAAGGAGUCUAACAUACCUGCGAGUGUUUGGGUGGAAAACCCGUGCGCGUAAUGAAAGUGAAAGUUGGGACCUUUGUCGUGAAGGGCACCGACGCCCGGACCAGACCUUCUGUGACGGCUCUGCGGUAAAGCAUGUAUGUUAGGACCCGAAAGAUGGUGAACUAUGCCUGAAUAGGGUGAAGCCAGAGGAAACUCUGGUGGAGGCUCGUAGCGAUUCUGACGUGCAAAUCGAUCGUCAAAUUUGGGUAUAGGGGCGAAAGACUAAU
Molecule: ribosomal RNA, 921 nt
Filed under: Russula tricholomopsis
Lineage: Eukaryota; Fungi; Basidiomycota; Agaricomycetes; Russulales; Russulaceae
Description: partial large subunit ribosomal RNA
Rfam family: Eukaryotic large subunit ribosomal RNA
Source: RNAcentral